Molecule: ribosomal RNA, 403 nt
Filed under: Fusobacteriota bacterium
Lineage: Bacteria; Fusobacteriati; Fusobacteriota
Description: Fusobacteria bacterium partial 16S ribosomal RNA
Rfam family: Bacterial small subunit ribosomal RNA
Source: RNAcentral
UGGGGAAUUUUGCACAAUGGAGGAAACUCUGCUGCAGCGACGCCGCGUGAGUGAUGAAGAUCUUCGGAUUGUAAAACUCUGUCCUUAGUGAAGAUAAUGACAGUAACUAAGAAGCAAGCCCUGGCUAAAUACGUGCCAGCAGCCGCGGUAAUACGUAUGGGGCAAGCGUUGUCCGGAAUUAUUGGGCGUAAAGGGUACGUAGGCGGUUUAAUAAGUCCUAAUUAAAAGGCUAUGGCUCAACCAUAGUAUGGUUAGGAAACUGUUGAACUUGAGUAGAUGAGGGGAAAGUGGAAUUCCAUGUGUAGCGGUGAAAUGCGUAGAUAUAUGGAGGAACACCAAUGGCGAAGGCAACUUUCUGGAAUCAAACUGACGCUGAGGUACGAAGGCGUGGGGAGCAAACAGG